CACAGUCAAGAGUUAUAGCUAAGCAUGUCUGAUACAGCACACUGGCACUGCACAAAAUCAAUGAAUCGAGCCUGAGUACAGUAUCAAUACAGUCUGAAGGUAUCAAAAACACUAAAAUACACCAAAGAAGUACAAGAUCAACUUAAGAGUUAUGAUUUUAGUAAACGUGAAAGAAUAUUCCAAGGAAUCAGUUCCAUUUACGAGAAACUGAGGAACUCUGAAAGCUACUGGAGACAAACAGAAAUUGAGAUUGAGAAUGAGAAGACGAAAGUUGAAAGUGAAAUUAAUGAAAUGUGUCAAAGUGUCGUCCCAUCAAGCAAGACUCCAACAAUUGAAAAUGCUCAGGAAACUGUUGAGGAGCUGACAGAGAGUCUAAGAGAAGAGAAACAAUUAUUAAAGACUUUAAUGCAAAAGACUAAAGACAGAGAGUGUAUCAAAUAUGAGUUUAAACCCUUGUAAAAAAUCCCAGCAAGAUCUUAUAAGGUUUUUCAUGAUUUCACAUGAUUAUACAAGAAAACAUAAGAUAGUAAUCUUGUAAAAUCUUAACACAGAAAUUCUUGCAAAUUCUUAUUUAAGAUUUGAUAAGAUUUGAACAGUUUUGUCAGAUCUUGUGAGAUCUAUCAUAACUAUAAUUCUUGUAAGAAUUUUAAAGAUCUUAUGAAUAAAGGAAUAUGUCAGAAAAUGUAAGAUCAUGCCUCACUUAAAUCUUGUAAUAUCACACCUUUUAAGAACUAAGAUGAUCUUGUUAAAUUGAAAUCUAAUAAGAUCUUACAAAAUCUAGUAAGUUUAUGAUCUUGAAGAAUCAUCCAUGA
Molecule: long non-coding RNA, 812 nt
Organism: Amphimedon queenslandica
Lineage: Eukaryota; Metazoa; Porifera; Demospongiae; Haplosclerida; Niphatidae
Exons: 5
Source: RefSeq, a predicted model, not a curated record